Molecule: ribosomal RNA, 492 nt
Filed under: Penaeus pulchricaudatus
Lineage: Eukaryota; Metazoa; Arthropoda; Malacostraca; Decapoda; Penaeidae
Description: partial large subunit ribosomal RNA
Rfam family: Bacterial large subunit ribosomal RNA
Source: RNAcentral
ACAAAAACAUGUCUAUAUGAUUGUUAUAUAAAGUCUAGCCUGCCCACUGAUUUGUUUUAAAGGGCCGCGGUAUAUUGACCGUGCGAAGGUAGCAUAAUCAUUAGUCUUUUAAUUGGAGGCUUGUAUGAAUGGUUGGACAAAAAGUAAGCUGUCUCGGUUAUAAUAAUUGAACUUAACUUUUAAGUGAAAAGGCUUAAAUGUUUCAGGGGGACGAUAAGACCCUAUAAAGCUUGACAAUAAUUUCGUUAUAUUAUAAAUUGUUAGUAUAACUUGAUUUUAACGGGAGUUUGUUUCGUUGGGGCGACGGGAAUAUAAUAAAUAACUGUUCUUUUAAAUAUAAUUACAAAAAUACUUGGUAAAUAAUUGAUCCUCUAUUAGAGAUUAAAAGAUUAAGUUACUUUAGGGAUAACAGCGUAAUCUUCUUUGAGAGUCCACAUCGACAAGAAGGUUUGCGACCUCGAUGUUGAAUUAAGGUAUCCUUAUAAUGCAGCA